GCCCUGUUCAUCACCAUCAAUUACUUUGGACACUUCCCAGUGCAGCCCAGCCAAGGGGAUUACCUGGACAGCCCUCUUCAUGCCUCAGGACCUGAACCCUGGAGCCUCCAUCUCAGAGACACAGCAGUGGUUGCAUUGGCACCCGUUCUCCAGAUACUGCCAGAUGCUGACUAACUUCACUGGCGCCAAAAAGUAUGGAGUUGAAAUAUAGUCACUUGGACAGCAAAUGGAACCUGAUAUUAAGUCACCAUCUGGGAAUGAUGCCGGCCCCAGGAACUGGCUGUGUUGGAGAAGACCUGGUAGAGAAACAGGAAGCAGCAGCUCCCACACUCAGACAUGCUCCAGAGUAUGCCAUGUGGCUAAGGAGGGCAAAGAUCAGAACCUUUGCUCAAAUAACCUCUGCAUUUCACCCCUCAGGAGAGUGGGUGGGAGUGGGCUGCAGUGAUGAAACCACCUGGUUUGAAGAUAAGAGUUCCUCCAACAGAACCAUUUACCCAUCUAUCUCUGUCCCUGCACAAAGUCUGACAGGCAUGGGCAUCCUCACAGUUCUCAGAGCUCUGCACAGGCCACUCUACUCAAGUCUGUGCUCACAGAGUCACUGGAAGGUGGGCAAAGGCAUAUUCUGA
Molecule: long non-coding RNA, 626 nt
Filed under: Castor canadensis (American beaver)
Lineage: Eukaryota; Metazoa; Chordata; Mammalia; Rodentia; Castoridae
Description: lncRNA (ENSCCNG00000001321.1)
Source: RNAcentral